RNAcentral lists this non-coding RNA (21 nucleotides) under Caenorhabditis elegans. The record is from RNAcentral. Lineage: Eukaryota; Metazoa; Nematoda; Chromadorea; Rhabditida; Rhabditidae.
UCAUACUUUAAUCAAAAUACC